This 1276-nucleotide long non-coding RNA is filed under the name Salmo salar (Atlantic salmon). Its description in RNAcentral is "lncRNA (ENSSSAG00000111201.1)". Lineage: Eukaryota; Metazoa; Chordata; Actinopteri; Salmoniformes; Salmonidae. The record is from RNAcentral.
UAGGCUAUUUUACAACGUCAUUUAUUGAAAUCUUCAACUUAUUUAACUUCACAGAUUUUAUUGAAAUAAACGAUACAAUGUUGAGAAAUAUAUAUUACACUCCUCUUAUCCCACCAUGAGCCAUGUGAAUAUCAUUCAGAAUAAGGUUUGGUUUCUUCUUUUCAGGCUAUACAACCCUAGCCUGGGUAUCGGUCGGUUUGUGCCAUCAUGCCACUUCCUGACACUCCUGUUCAUGUUUGGCAUUUGACACAGAGUACAAGGAGUGGAAUGUCAGCACAAACAGACUGGUACCCAGGCUAGUACAAUCCUCUAACAGAGACCUAUCUACAACAGACUGGUACCCAGGCUAGUACAAUCCUCUAACAGAGACCCAUCUACAACAGACUGGUACCCAGGCUACAGAGAUCUAUCUAUAGUAAAUCCUAGCUGAAAAUAAGUUGUGUCCAUCAGGGACAGGAGGAGGAUGAAGAGGAGGAGGAUGAAGAGGAAGAGGAGGGUGGUUUAGGAGGAUGAGGAUGAUGAGGAGGAGGAUGAAGAGGAGGAGGGUAGUUUAGGAAGAGGAUGAGGAUGGUGGUUUAGGAAGAGGAUGAAGAGGAGGAGGGUGGUUUAGGAGGAUGAAGAGGAGGAGGGUGGUUUAGCAGGAGAAUGAAGAUGAGGAGGGUGGUUUAGGAAGAGGAUGAAGAUGAGGGGGGUGGUUUAGGAGGAUGAAGAUGAGGAGGGUGGUAUAGGAGGAGGAUGAAGAUGAGGAGGGUGGUAUAGGAGGAGGAUGAAGAUGAGGAGGGUGGUUUAGGAGGAUGAAGACGAGGAGGGUGGUUUAGGAGGAUGAAGAUGAGGAGGGUGGUUUAGGAAGAGGAUGAAGAGGAGGAGGGGGAUGAAGAGGAGGAGGGUGGUAUAGGAGGAGGAUGAAGAUGAGGGGGGUGGUUUAGCAGGAGGAUGAAGAGGCGGGUGGUUUCGGUAUGAAUGCUGUUACGAUGUGGGCAUCAUCCCUCCCACCACUCCAGUCAUGGACAGCAUGAACACCACUCAAUGUGUGCGUGUGUGUCCCCAUCGGCACCCUAUUCCCUUUGUAGUGCACUCCUUUUGACCAGAGCCCUGGGGGGGCCGGGACCACGGUAGUGCACCACGUAAGGAAUAGAGUUCCAUUUGGGAUGCAACUAAUAAUACAUCAACACAAGACAUGACGAUAGGAGCAUGAUGUCUCCUUUAGCUGGGUCAAAACAGCCAGGCGCCCUUCAGGGCCUCUGUGUAUUACAGCAGCAGCAGCAGUAGCAGUGUG